GGUCAUGUGACUCUGACUCAGCUGCAAGGCGGAAGCAGCGAUCCCAGCCCCAGAGACAGGAGUGGAGGAGGAGACCGGCAGCAAGAUGCUGGCGUCGUUGUUGGUGGUGUGUGUUUCCGUGGUGAUGGCAACCCCCCCGCCAGCCCCCCACCCCCUGUCCCCCGACUUUGUCAACCUCAUCAACAAAUUCAACACCACCUGGCGGGCCGGCCAGAAUUUCCAGAACGUUCCCUUCAGCCAUGUUAAGAAACUGUGUGGG
This is a long non-coding RNA of Amblyraja radiata (thorny skate), 259 nucleotides long. RefSeq lists it as uncharacterized. Lineage: Eukaryota; Metazoa; Chordata; Chondrichthyes; Rajiformes; Rajidae. The record is from RefSeq and is a predicted model, not a curated record. The transcript has 4 exons.